This is a long non-coding RNA of Oncorhynchus nerka (sockeye salmon), 1388 nucleotides long. RefSeq lists it as uncharacterized. NCBI's taxonomy places the organism in Eukaryota, Metazoa, Chordata, Actinopteri, Salmoniformes, Salmonidae. The record is from RefSeq and is a predicted model, not a curated record. The transcript is spliced from 2 exons.
AUUAGAAAAGGGCAGGAACAACAACAACAACAGGACCAGAGGAGCUGUGACAGCGACAACGAGGAAGAGACCAGGAAGACGAGACUACAGACCAGGAAGAGGAGUAACACUUCCUGAAGACAACAACCAAUCAAAAUGCCACCAUUCCUCCAUUCCACUUCCUGAAGACAACAACCAAUCAAAAUGCCACCAUUCCUCCAUUCCACUUCCUGAAGACAACAACCAACCAAAACACCACCGUUCCUCCAUUCCACUUCCUGAAGACAACAACCAAUCAAAACGCCACCAUUCCUCCAUUCCACUUCCUGAAGACAACAACCAAUCAAAAUGCCACCAUUCCUCCAUUCCACUUCCUGAAGACAACAACCAACCAAAACACCACCGUUCCUCCAUUCCACUUCCUGAAGACAACAACCAACCAAAACACCACCGUUCCUCCAUUCCACUUCCUGAAGACAACAACCAACCAAAACACCACUUCCUGAAGACAACAACCAAUCACCAUUUAAAUCCAGUUGUCUAUGAAGUUAUAGUCUUUUCUCAGUGAAAGGUCAUAGACAUGAAGCCUUUUUUUUAAAAUGAUACUUCUGUAUGUUAGCCAGCUUUUUAUAAAUCUGUUUGCAGUGUAGUGGUUGUAUAUGGCGGGAAAUACAAGAGAGCAGAAUGAAUCCGUUUGUGUUCUUACUGUAUUUUACAUCAGUGUUGCAUGUAUAAAAUAUGUUUUCCUAUUAGAUUAUGUGUCACGCCCUGUUUAUUCUCUACGUUGGUUGGGGCGUGACAGUGACUAGGGUGGGUUAUCUAGGUGAUUAAUGAUUUAUGUUGGCCCGGUAUGGUUCCCGCAUUCAGAGGCAGCUGUUUAUUCUCUAUGUUGGUUGGGGCGUGACAGUGACUAGGGUGGGUUAUCUAGGUGAUUAAUGAUUUAUGUUGGCCCGGUAUGGUUCCCGCAUUCAGAGGCAGCUGUUUAUUCGUUGUCUCUGAUUGGGGAUCAUGUUUAGGCAGCCAUUUCCCCUUUGUGCUUUGUGGGAUGUUGUCUAGGUAUAGUUGCCUCUGAGCUUCACGUUUCCAUUUUUUUCCUUCUCUUUAUUGUUUUGUUUUUCUUUUAAUUAAUAAGUUUCUUUUCCAAAAUAAAAGGAUGAAAACACCACGCUGCGUCUUGGUCCACUCGUUAUAACGAUCGUGACAUUAUGUUUAACCUGUGUAUGCAUUCUCUAUACUGGCUAUUGCCAUUUCCUUACAGAAAUCUACCACCACUUUUCAACGUGUGAUUUAUGGGGAAUUCAUCAAUAUUUCAUGUAUUUUUCUGAUUUGUAAACUAUAUUAUGAAACCCUACAACCCAAACCAAUCCCUAAUUGCUGUAACAAUAACAAUAAAUAUGACUAUAAAUCUU